Long non-coding RNA from Papaver somniferum (opium poppy), 540 nucleotides. RefSeq lists it as uncharacterized. Lineage: Eukaryota; Viridiplantae; Streptophyta; Magnoliopsida; Ranunculales; Papaveraceae. The record is from RefSeq and is a predicted model, not a curated record. The transcript is spliced from 3 exons.
UUUCUUUUCUCCUCCGUUUACUCGCCGUUUUUUCUCCAUUCUCCUCUUUUGUUCUGAUAUUUGCAGUUAAAGGUUCAGAUUAUUCUAUUUUCUAUUUCGUGUUACGAUUUCCAUGAUUCCACGUUGAUUCCUUUUUAUCUUCUUUAUAAAGACCAACAAAAACUUUUUCUUUACGAUUCUGCAAUUGUACUGUGCUAUGUAUAUUGGCGAAGGGAGUUACACCAAAAACAACACCAGUUCUAAGACCUUAAAAUUUCUCUGUAUAUUGGCGAAGGGAGGAACAAAUUUCACACUAGACUAUGCGUAUUUUGUGAUACAUUGGUACUGUGCUCGAAGAAAUAAGGUUGCAUUCAGGUCGUUUGGUCAGGGUUCAAAUUUAUUGUGCUGCUCAUGAGUUCCCUAAAGGCUGAGUAGAAUCAAUAAGGAUGGUCAUAAUGUAUGGUUGGGUGAAGCUGGAGGAUUGACAGAAGAUGAGCAAAAAGAGGGGCCAGAAGGAACAAAUUUUAUAUCAAUCCCACAAUUUCCAGUAAGUUAAUCUAG